RNAcentral lists this ribosomal RNA (417 nucleotides) under uncultured bacterium. RNAcentral's name for it is "bacterial SSU rRNA". It matches the Rfam family "Bacterial small subunit ribosomal RNA", at positions 355 to 786 of the family's 1533-position model. The record is from RNAcentral.
UGGGGAAUAUUGGGCAAUGGGCGCAAGCCUGACCCAGCAACGCCGCGUGAAGGAAGAAGGCUUUCGGGUUGUAAACUUCUUUUCUUGGGGACGAAGAAAGUGACGGUACCCGAGGAAUAAGCCACGGCUAACUACGUGCCAGCAGCCGCGGUAAUACGUAGGUGGCAAGCGUUAUCCGGAUUUAUUGGGUGUAAAGGGCGUGUAGGCGGGAAUGCAAGUCAGAUGUGAAAACUAUGGGCUCAACCCAUAGCCUGCAUUUGAAACUGUAUUUCUUGAGUGCUGGAGAGGCAAUCGGAAUUCCGUGUGUAGCGGUGAAAUGCGUAGAUAUACGGAGGAACACCAGUGGCGAAGGCGGAUUGCUGGACAGUAACUGACGCUGAGGCGCGAAAGCGUGGGGAGCAAACAGGAUUAGAUACC